This 63-nucleotide transfer RNA is filed under the name Ictidomys tridecemlineatus (thirteen-lined ground squirrel). RNAcentral's name for it is "Spermophilus tridecemlineatus (thirteen-lined ground squirrel) tRNA". It matches the Rfam family "tRNA". From Rfam's summary of the family: Transfer RNA (tRNA) molecules are approximately 80 nucleotides in length. Lineage: Eukaryota; Metazoa; Chordata; Mammalia; Rodentia; Sciuridae. The record is from Rfam by way of RNAcentral.
GGGGAUGUGGCUCAGUGGCAGAGCACUCACCUGGCAUGUGUGAGGCCCUGCAUUCCAUCCCCA